GAUCAAAUAGCAAAUCCAUUUCCACCGUUAAAAACUAGUGUGAUUGAAGAAUAACCAUACAAUUACAUGUGGUGUGCCACGGUUACCGCAUUUUGAUGUACAAGGACCAAUUUUUAACCGUAAAAAUGAAUGAAAUUUUGACA
Molecule: microRNA precursor, 143 nt
Filed under: Gossypium hirsutum (cotton)
Lineage: Eukaryota; Viridiplantae; Streptophyta; Magnoliopsida; Malvales; Malvaceae
Also listed under: 6 other names
Description: MIR7502 microRNA precursor family
Rfam family: MIR7502 microRNA precursor family
Source: Rfam by way of RNAcentral